GGUAACUGCAUUUGCUGAAUCGGAAACAAUAAUGGCGGUUCCUUCGAUGGUAUCGGCGACGGCUCCGGCCUCGCUUUACGUUGGGGACCUGCACCCUGACGUCACUGAUGGACAGCUCUUUGAUGCAUUCUCCGAGUUCAAGAGCCUCGCCUCCGUUCGCGUUUGUAGAGAUUCCUCCUCUGGCAGGUCUCUCUGUUAUGGUUACGUCAACUUUAUCUCUCCACAGGAUGCUAUCCAGGCUAUUGAGAUGAUGAAUCACACUGCCUUGAAUGGAAAAUUCAUGAGGGUCAUGUGGUCACACCGUGAUUCUGAUACAAGAAAAAGUGGAAUAGGAAAUGUGUAUGUUAAGAAUUUGAGUGAGUCAAUUGAUAAUGUGGGGCUUCAAGAUUUAUUCGGCAAGUUUGGGACUAUUAUAUCUUGCAAAGUUGCCAUGAAUGAGGAUGGGAAGAGUAAAGGCCAUGGCUUUGUUCAGUUCGACUCAGAGGAUUGUGCAAAUUCUGCCAUUGAGAAGUUAAAUGGCUCCAUUGUUAGUGAUAAGCAGAUAUACGUCGGAAAGUUUGUUAAAAAGAGUGAUCGAGUUUUGCCAAGCCCUGAUGCUAAAUAUACAAAUAUAUAUGUGAAAAACUUGGAUCCUGAAAUCUCAGAAGAGGUUCUGCUGGAGAAGUUCGCUGAAUUUGGGAAAAUAGUCAGCCUGGUGAUUGCAAAGGAUGAAAAUGGAGUCUCAAGAGGAUUUGGUUUUGUCAAUUUUGAUAACCCAGAUGAUGCCAGAUGGGCCGUGGAAAGAAUGAAUGAAACAGAACUUGGUUCAAAGGUUCUUUGUGUAGGAAGGGCACAAAAGAAAGCAGAGCGUGAACAUAUUUUGCGUAGUCAGUUUGAAGAAAAACGUAAGGAUCAUAUCAUGAAAUACAAGGGUUCAAAUGUGUAUGUGAAAAACAUCGAUGAUGAAGUCACUGAUGAAGAGCUAAAAGAACACUUCAGCCAAUGUGGUACGAUUACGUCUGCAAAACUUAUGAGAGAUGAUAAAGGAAUAAGUAAGGGGUUUGGAUUUGUAUGCUUCUCCAUGUCUGAAGAGGCCAAUAAAGCUGUGAGCACCUUUCAUGGUUGCAUGUUUCACCGCAAGCGACUGUAUGUGGCUAUUGCUCAAAGGAAGGAGGAUAGACAAGAACAAUUGCAACUGCAAUAUGCUCACUGUAUGGCUGGAAUAGCUGGACCUUCCACAGCUUUUAUUCCUGGUGGAUAUCCUCGCCUUUACUACACAGCCCCUUCUGGUGUUGUUUCACAAGUACUGCCUGGGCUGAUGUACCAACCUUUGGGUAUGAGGCCAGGAUGGAGGGCUAAUGGCUUUGCUCCUCCAACCAGACCAAACUUACAACCAUCACAACUUCCAGUAAUGUCUAAUACUCAAAGACAACACAAGCAGAACAGAGGACGGAUAAAUGGCCAUGUUUCCCCCCUUGGUGGUAAUCACUCUGUCUCGUAUAUUGAACAGCCCACCCAAUCACCAACUUCAUCAAAAGGUCCAAGCAACCAGCGGCCUGGGCAGGCUAAGUAUCUACCAAAUUGUCACACUCGUGAAGUGGGCAAAGGAUCUGGAGUCUUAUCUGCUGUUCCCACUUCCCUCAGCCCUGUGUCUCAAGGAUCAGAGAUGCUUAAUAGCAUGCUAGCUGCUGCUUCCCCUGAGGAGCAAAAACAGAUUCUAGGGGAGCAGCUUUACCCACUCAUUAAGAAACACCAGCCUGAUCUUGUUGCAAAGAUUACGGGAAAGCUUCUGGGGAUGGACAACUCAGAACUGCUUCUAUUGUUGGUAUCGCCAGAGUCUCUGGCCGCCAAGGUGGAGGAAGCCGUGCAGGUGCUGAAGAUCACUAAAACAAAAGUAUCUGGUCAAGACACUCCUCAUCCAAGUUAUCUUUCUGCAUAGUGACAGGGUAAAAAGUCUAGAGGUUGUGGUGCGGCUUGGCUCCUUGACAGCAAAAUUUUUGACACUCAACACAAGUGGAUCUCCUUUUUUCUGUACUUUAACUUCAAGUUUUGCAGCACAGGAUUUUGUCAAUUCCAUGAACUGUUAUAUUUUGGUCUUAUUGAGAUCUAUCAAUAAGAGUUGGGAAAACUUUCGUAUUGUGUUAGUAACGUUGGUAGCAUUAGCUUGAAAUGGGAUUUUCUU
This 2161-nucleotide unclassified non-coding RNA is filed under the name Hevea brasiliensis (rubber tree). The record is from RNAcentral. Lineage: Eukaryota; Viridiplantae; Streptophyta; Magnoliopsida; Malpighiales; Euphorbiaceae.